CUCGCUUAUAGCUGCCAGGAUUCUGUUAUAUCGACAUCAUCUUCGCCAGUCCCUGCUCUCCUCUUGGCUGGUGACUUGGCUGGUGACAUGGUGUGACUUCCUUGUGGACAGCAUUGUGGACAGCAGUCAUCAUCUUGCCAGUGAUGGGUUAUGACAGUACUCAUCUUCAGCAACAACAUGGAGUUAAAACAGCACUCGUCUCCAUGUGACAGGCAACACAAUACUGUCUCGGCCACUCCAAGCACCCAUUAUUCUCCUUAUUUGAUUCAGCUUCUCCAUUUCUCUAGUUCAUCAUUCUCUCACAGCCUUGCCAGGCUCCCUUCAGCCCAGGAAGUGAAAUCCUUGAUGUACCUCCUCUUGGUGUCCAUUAGUGAUGCAAGGUGAGUAAGGCUGCACAACUCAAGGUGAACAGUAACCUCCCAUCCAUUUCAGGCUGACGGAGGGGCAAGCCAGUCUCUCUUAAUCAUGGAAAACAUCAACAGGUUUGAGAGACGUGCUUGCUAAUUGUCACUGCAGGUAGGCCACUCUCCCCUGCCACAGUGCAUCACCACACACUGGAUCAGAAUCUCUGGGGGGGGUCAUGGCAGCCUGCGGCCAUCACCACUAAUCCUUCCUGCAUUUCUGAAGCUUAGCCAACUCCAUCUCCACCUUCUCCAGCCCCCUGCUCUGUGCGAGUGUUCAUCUCCAUUGACACAGCCGUGCUCAGAACUCCCGACACAAGCCCCGACGUUCGCUACACUUGUCUUCAACAGUUAUCUGUUGAAGCCACGCGAGGAAGCACGUCACCACCGCCGCCACCACCACCACCACCACCACCACCACCACCACCACCACGCCAUGCCCUUCCACCACGUCUCGCCUCACCCGUCACGUCCUGGGCUUGUAGUAAGAGUGAGGAGGAGGAGAUGAUGGAGGAGGAGGAGGAGGAGGAGGAGGAGGAGGAGGAGGAAUACAUAGGAAAGACGAUUGACAGGAAGCCUUGCGACCUAUGACGAGGUCACUCGUUCACUAUACUACAUCUAUAAUAAGCUAUAUACUUAGCAGGAGGCAAGGAUAGAACAGAAGAACCUCCUCCCCACCCACCACUCCCUCCGGCGUUACCCGGCAAGAAAUAAAACGAAAAGUUCACCCCGAUUGCUGAGAGGAACAAUCGGGGAAAUUUAUAUAGGAAAGAUGGGAAAAAGAAGAGACCUACUGUGACUACUGCUAUCGCAAAAAAAAAAAAAAAAAAAAAAAAAUCGGAAACCAUUUUAUUUAUAAAACUUAUCUAAUUAAGUUUUGAAGGUAGCCGCCGUAUUAACUUGCACUACAGACCCUGGUAACUGCUGGUACCUUAUUCCAACAACUUAUUCCAACAUUCAACUACUCUUACGUUAAAAAAGUUUCUUCGCAAAUCAGUAUUACAUCGCUGUCCUUUAAGUUUCAAGCCGUUACUUCUUGUUACUGAUUGCGACAGCUGAAAGAGAUUUUUGUAAUCUAUUUUAUCUAUAUUCUUAAGUAUUUUGAACGUUUGGAUGAGAUCACCUCGGAUGUGACAAUCUCUAAGAGAAAACGUAUCUAAUCUUUUUAGACGUUCAUCAUGACAGACCACGUAUUUCUGGGAUUAGUUUGGUUGCUCGUCUUUGCACGCUCUCCAAUUUCUUAAUGUUUUUCUGAUAGCAUGGAGACCAGAACUGAACCGCAUAUUCUAAAUGCGGUCUCACUAAUGACGUAUAUAGACGCGUUAUGACUUCGGGUGUUUUACAAUCAAAAUUACGCGCAAUAAAUCCUAAGACAGUGUUUGCUUUACGACUCGCGGCCAAACACUGCGUUGCACAUUUGAAGUCAUUUGUUACUAAUACCCCCAGGUCCUUCUCUUCAGUAACUUUUAUUAAAUUUUGUCAUGUAAUUUAUAAUUAUAUUUUACAUUGUUCUGACCGAUGUGCAUUACUUUGCAUUUAUCUCCAUUAUGCAUUUAUCUCCAUUUAAAAUUUAACGGCCUUUAGCCGCUCCAGCUACUAAGGUUAUCUAAAUCUUGCUGGAUGACAUCACAAUCGUCUCACAAUCGGCGAAUUUUGAUAUUCUUGACACAAUGCCGCAGUCUAAGUCAUUUAUAUACAUCAAAAAAAGUAACGGACCCAAAACUGAACCUUGGGGGACACCACUCGUAACUUGAAGCCAGUCGGAAGCUUCUCCAUUUAUACUCGUUGUUUUCUAUUUAUUAGCCAACUUUCAAUCCAACCACACAACUGCUCUCCCAUUC
This is a long non-coding RNA of Scylla paramamosain (green mud crab), 2242 nucleotides long. RefSeq lists it as uncharacterized. NCBI's taxonomy places the organism in Eukaryota, Metazoa, Arthropoda, Malacostraca, Decapoda, Portunidae. The transcript has 3 exons. The record is from RefSeq and is a predicted model, not a curated record.